UUUCAAGAUUCUAAGAGCAAACGGUGGAUGCCUUGGCAUCUGGAGCCGAAGAAGGACGUAUAAAUCUGCGAUAAGCCUCGGGGAGCUGAUAAUAGAGCUUUGAUCCGAGGAUCUCCGAAUGGGGAAACCCCGCCAGGCCCUUUGGGUGACCUGGUGACUCCCGCCUGAAUAUAUAGGGCGGGUAGAGGGAACGUGGGGAAGUGAAACAUCUCAGUACCCACAGGAAGAGAAAGCAAAAGCGAUUCCGUUAGUAGUGGCGAGCGAAACCGGAAGAGGCCAAACCGAUCAUGUGUGAUAUCCGGUAGGAGUUGCAUGGUCGGGGUUGCGGGACUUUCCGUACAGUUCUACCGAGCUGUGAGGGCAAUGAGCGCGAUAUAGACGAAUGGUCUUGAAAGGCCAGUCAUAGAGGGUGCGAACCCCGUAGUCGAAAUGUCGUCGCCUGUCCGGAGAGUAUCCCAAGUAGCACGGGGCCCGAGAAAUCCCGUGUGAAUCUGUCAGGACCACCUGAUAAGCCUAAAUACUCCCAGAUGACCGAUAGCGGACAAGUACCGUGAGGGAAAGGUGAAAAGUACCCCGGGAGGGGAGUGAAAUAGUACCUGAAACCGUUUGCUUACAAACCGUUGGAGCACCCNNNNNNNNNNNNNNNNNNNNNNNNNNNNNNNNNNNNNNNNNNNNNNNNNNNNNNNNNNNNNNNNNNNNNNNNNNNNNNNNNNNNNNNNNNNNNNNNNNNNAAUCCAGUAAUGCUAAGUGUCUGAAUCCUUGAUUCGAUCCCUUCGGGGUGACGGUCUUGGCCUAGCACACGACCCUACGCUGGGGCGUUUAGCGUAUUAACAGGUGUGACGCAGGAAGGUAGCUGAGCCGGGCGAUGGUUGUCCCGGUCUAAGGAUGUAGGGCAGAAGAUAGGCAAAUCCGUCUUCUAUGUAGCCUGAGACCCGAUGGGUAGUCCUCACGGACGAAAUCAGUGAUCCUAUGCUGCCGAGAAAAGCAUCGACGCGAGGUUCCAAUCGCCCGUACCCCAAACCGACUCAGGUGGUCAGGUAGAGAAUACUAAGGAGAUCGAGAGAAUCGUGGUUAAGGAACUCGGCAAAAUGCCCCCGUAACUUCGGGAGAAGGGGGGCCUGAGGCGUGUAGGGAUUUACUCCUGAAGCGUUUGAAGGCCGCAGAGACCAGUGGGAAGCGACUGUUUACUAAAAACACAGGUCCGUGCUAAGUCGCAAGACGAUGUAUACGGACUGACGCCUGCCCGGUGCUGGAAGGUUAAGAGGAACGGUUAGUCCGCAAGGGCGAAGCUGAGAAUUUAAGCCCCAGUAAACGGCGGUGGUAACUAUAACCAUCCUAAGGUAGCGAAAUUCCUUGUCGGGUAAGUUCCGACCUGCACGAAUGGCGUAACGACUUCCCAGCUGUCUCAACCGCGAACUCGGCGAAAUUGCACUACGAGUAAAGAUGCUCGUUACGCGCAGCAGGACGGAAAGACCCCGUGACCUUUACUACAGCUUGGUAUUGGUGUUCGGUGUGGCUUGUGUAGGAUAGGUGGGAGACUGUGAAGCUCGGACGCUAGUUCGGGUGGAGUCAUUGUUGAAAUACCACUCUGGUCACUCUGGAUAUCUAACUUCGAACCGUAAUCCGGUUCAGGGACAGUGCCUGGUGGGUAGUUUAACUGGGGCGGUUGCCUCCUAAAGAGUAACGGAGGCGCCCAAAGGUUCCCUCAACCUGGUUGGUAAUCAGGUGUCGAGUGUAAGUGCACAAGGGAGCUUGACUGUGAGACUGACAAGUCGAGCAGGGACGAAAGUCGGGACUAGUGAUCCGGCAGUGGCUUGUGGAAGCGCUGUCGCUCAACGGAUAAAAGGUACCUCGGGGAUAACAGGCUGAUCUUGCCCAAGAGUCCAUAUCGACGGCAUGGUUUGGCACCUCGAUGUCGGCUCGUCGCAUCCUGGGGCUGGAGUAGGUCCCAAGGGUUGGGCUGUUCGCCCAUUAAAGCGGUACGCGAGCUGGGUUUAGAACGUCGUGAGACAGUUCGGUCCCUAUCCGCUGCGCGCGUAGGAAAUUUGAGAAGAUCUAUCCCUAGUACGAGAGGACCGGGAUGGACGAACCUCUGGUGUGUCAGUUGUUCCGCCAGGAGCACCGCUGAUUAGCUACGUUCGGAACGGAUAACCGCUGAAAGCAUCUAAGCGGGAAGCCGGCUUCGAGAUGAGAUUUCCAUCCCUUUUAGGGUGAAGGCUCCCGGCUAGACUACCGGGUUGAUAGGCAGGAUGUGGAAGCGAGGACUAAAGACUCGUGGAGCUGACCUGUACUAAUAAGCCGAUAUCUUGAAAAC
Molecule: ribosomal RNA, 2314 nt
Filed under: Clavibacter phaseoli
Lineage: Bacteria; Bacillati; Actinomycetota; Actinomycetes; Micrococcales; Microbacteriaceae
Description: 23S ribosomal RNA
Rfam family: Bacterial large subunit ribosomal RNA
Source: RNAcentral